RNAcentral lists this ribosomal RNA (492 nucleotides) under uncultured bacterium. RNAcentral describes it as "partial 16S ribosomal RNA". It matches the Rfam family "Bacterial small subunit ribosomal RNA", at positions 29 to 507 of the family's 1533-position model. The record is from RNAcentral.
AGUGAACGCUGGCGGUAGGCCUAACACAUGCAAGUCGAACGGCAGCACAGUAAGAGCUUGCUCUUACGGGUGGCGAGUGGCGGACGGGUGAGGAAUACAUCGGAAUCUACUUUUUCGUGGGGGAUAACGUAGGGAAACUUACGCUAAUACCGCAUACGACCUACGGGUGAAAGCAGGGGAUCUUCGGACCUUGCGCGUUUGAAUGAGCCGAUGUCGGAUUAGCUAGUUGGCGGGGUAAAGGCCCACCAAGGCGACGAUCCGUAGCUGGUCUGAGAGGAUGAUCAGACACACUGGAACUGAGACACGGUCCAGACUCCUACGGGAGGCAGCAGUGGGGAAUAUUGGACAAUGGGCGAAAGCAUGAUCCAGCAAUACCGCGUGGGUGAAGAAGGCCUUCGGGUUGUAAAGCCCUUUUGUUGGGAAAGAAAAGCAGCAGGUUAAUACCCAGCUGUUCUGACGGUACCCAAAGAAUAAGCACCGGCUAACUUCGUG